UGUUCGCCGAUUAAAGUGGCACGUGAACUGGGUUCAGAACGUCGCAAGACAGUUCGGUCCCUAUCUGUGGUGGGCGUUAGUAAAUUGAGAAGACAUGCUCUUAGUACGAGAGGACCGGAGCGUACGUACCGCUGGUGUAUCUGUUGUGCCGCCAGGUGCAAUGCAGAGUAGCUAUGUACGGCAAGGAUAAACGCUGAAAGCAUCU
RNAcentral lists this ribosomal RNA (205 nucleotides) under Chitinophagaceae bacterium. Its description in RNAcentral is "partial 23S ribosomal RNA". It matches the Rfam family "Bacterial large subunit ribosomal RNA", at positions 2578 to 2782 of the family's 2925-position model. The record is from RNAcentral. Lineage: Bacteria; Pseudomonadati; Bacteroidota; Chitinophagia; Chitinophagales; Chitinophagaceae.